AAAUCCGGUACUCGUUAAGGCUGAGCUGUGAUGGGGAGAAGACAUUGUGUCUUCGAGUCGUUGAUUUCACACUGCCGAGAAAAGCCUCUAGAUAGAAAAUAGGUGCCCGUACCGCAAACCGACACAGGUAGUCAAGAUGAGAAUUCUAAGGUGAGCGAGCGAACUCUCGUUAAGGAACUCGGCAAAAUGACCCCGUAACUUCGGGAGAAGGGGUGCUCUUUAGGGUUAACGCCCAGAAGAGCCGCAGUGAAUAGGCCCAAGCGACUGUUUAUCAAAAACACAGGUCUCUGCUAAACCGUAAGGUGAUGUAUAGGGGCUGACGCCUGCCCGGUGCUGGAAGGUUAAGAGGAGUGGUUAGCUUCUGCGAAGCUACGAAUCGAAGCCCCAGUAAACGGCGGCCGUAACUAUAACGGUCCUAAGGUAGCGAAAUUCCUUGUCGGGUAAGUUCCGACCCGCACGAAAGGCGUAACGAUUUGGGCACUGUCUCAACGAGAGACUCGGUGAAAUCAUAGUACCUGUGAAGAUGCAGGUUACCCGCGACAGGACGGAAAGACCCCGUGGAGCUUUACUGUAGCCUGAUAUUGAAAUUCGGCACAGCUUGUACAGGAUAGGUAGGAGCCUUUGAAACGUGAGCGCUAGCUUACGUGGAGGCGCUGGUGGGAUACUACCCUAGCUGUGUUGGCUUUCUAACCCGCACCACUUAUCGUGGUGGGAGACAGUGUCAGGCGGGCAGUUUGACUGGGGCGGUCGCCUCCUAAAAGGUAACGGAGGCGCUCAAAGGUUCCCUCAGAAUGGUUGGAAAUCAUUCAUAGAGUGUAAAGGCAUAAGGGAGCUUGACUGCGAGACCUACAAGUCGAGCAGGGUCGAAAGACGGACUUAGUGAUCCGGUGGUUCCGCAUGGAAGGGCCAUCGCUCAACGGAUAAAAGCUACCCCGGGGAUAACAGGCUUAUCUCCCCCAAGAGUUCACAUCGACGGGGAGGUUUGGCACCUCGAUGUCGGCUCAUCGCAUCCUGGGGCUGUAGUCGGUCCCAAGGGUUGGGCUGUUCGCCCAUUAAAGCGGUACGCGAGCUGGGUUCAGAACGUCGUGAGACAGUUCGGUCCCUAUCCGUCGUGGGCGUAGGAAAUUUGAGAGGAGCUGUCCUUAGUACGAGAGGACCGGGAUGGACAUACCUCUGGUGUACCAGUUGUCGUGCCAACGGCAUAGCUGGGUAGCUAUGUGUGGACGGGAUAAGUGCUGAAAGCAUCUAAGCAUGAAGCCCCCCUCAAGAUGAGAUUUCCCAACUUCGGUUAUAAGAUCCCUCAA
RNAcentral lists this ribosomal RNA (1304 nucleotides) under Staphylococcus aureus. RNAcentral's name for it is "partial 23S ribosomal RNA". It matches the Rfam family "Bacterial large subunit ribosomal RNA", at positions 1538 to 2841 of the family's 2925-position model. The record is from RNAcentral. Lineage: Bacteria; Bacillati; Bacillota; Bacilli; Caryophanales; Staphylococcaceae.